RNAcentral lists this long non-coding RNA (529 nucleotides) under Salmo salar (Atlantic salmon). RNAcentral describes it as "lncRNA (ENSSSAG00000086142.1, ENSSSAG00000092971.1)". The record is from RNAcentral. Lineage: Eukaryota; Metazoa; Chordata; Actinopteri; Salmoniformes; Salmonidae.
CCCUAGCUGAGUUACAGAAAAACAUGCUGUUGUCUGAGCAUCCCUGUUUUCGUUUGCUUCCUGUGUAGGUUUAGUGUUGGUUUUUCUUUUGUUUGCCUCUUGAGAAAAUUUAGUGGGUGCUCAUGGUACCUCUCCACGGGACUUUCCACACUGCCAGAGCCAGAAGCACACCAGGACAGAUAAAAUAAUGAGAGGCAUAGCAUAUUUAGCAGGUCUGAGUCUACUUAUUCAGUUUGGUGAGAAUGUGGAUCCUUACCUGUGCACCCACCUGGUCUACACUUUUGCCAUCAUGAAUUAUGCUAAUGAGCUCAUCACCUACGAGUGGAACGACAAGACCCUCUACAAGUCUUUCACCGCCUUGAAGACCAAGUAAUAGUUUCUGAUGAUGAAUACAAUUAAAUCAAUUUUGUAUCUAUUAAAAUGGUAAUUUGUUGCUCAUUUGGUAAAACACUACAUUUCUCUUUUUUACUAGGCAAGUCAGUUAAGAACAAAUUCUUAUUUACAAUGACGGCCUACUGGGGAACAGCGG